Molecule: ribosomal RNA, 454 nt
Filed under: uncultured Flavobacterium sp.
Lineage: Bacteria; Pseudomonadati; Bacteroidota; Flavobacteriia; Flavobacteriales; Flavobacteriaceae
Description: bacterial SSU rRNA
Rfam family: Bacterial small subunit ribosomal RNA
Source: RNAcentral
ACGGAAGGCAGCAGUGAGGAAUAUUGGUCAAUGGGCGCAAGCCUGAACCAGCCAUGCCGCGUGCAGGAUGACGGUCCUAUGGAUUGUAAACUGCUUUUGUACGGGAAGAAACCCUCCUACGUGUAGGAGCUUGACGGUACCGUAAGAAUAAGGAUCGGCUAACUCCGUGCCAGCAGCCGCGGUAAUACGGAGGAUCCAAGCGUUAUCCGGAAUCAUUGGGUUUAAAGGGUCUGUAGGCGGUCUUGUAAGUCAGUGGUGAAAGCCCAUCGCUCAACGGUGGAACGGCCAUUGAUACUGCUGGACUUGAAUUAUUGGGAAGCAACUAGAAUAUGUAGUGUAGCGGUGAAAUGCUUAGAGAUUACAUGGAAUACCAAUUGCGAAGGCAGGUUGCUACCAAUGGAUUGACGCUGAUGGACGAAAGCGUGGGUAGCGAACAGGAUUAGAUACCCUGGUA